RNAcentral lists this ribosomal RNA (468 nucleotides) under uncultured bacterium. RNAcentral's name for it is "partial 16S ribosomal RNA". It matches the Rfam family "Bacterial small subunit ribosomal RNA", at positions 28 to 507 of the family's 1533-position model. The record is from RNAcentral.
GACGAACGCUGGCGGCGUGCUUAACACAUGCAAGUCGAACGGAAAGGCCCUGCUUUUGUGGGGUGCUCGAGUGGCGAACGGGUGAGUAACACGUGAGUAACCUGCCCUUGACUUUGGGAUAACUUCAGGAAACUGGGGCUAAUACCGGAUAGGAGCUCCUGCUGCAUGGUGGGGGCUGGCAAGUUUCGGCGGUUGGGGAUGGACUCGCGGCUUAUCAGCUUGUUGGUGGGGUAGUGGCUUACCAAGGCUUUGACGGGUAGCCGGCCUGAGAGGGUGACCGGCCACAUUGGGCCUGAGAUACGGCCCAGACUCCUACGGGAGGCAGCAGUGGGGAAUAUUGCACAAUGGGCGGAAGCCUGAUGCAGCAACGCCGCGUGCGGGAUGACGGCCUUCGGGUUGUAAACCGCUUUCGCCUGUGACGAAGCGUGAGUGACGGUAAUGGGUAAAGAAGCACCGGCUAACUACGUG